UAAUUUUGUACAAGAUAAUGAAGAUAAAAUUCUUGUUCGACAGUAUGAUACAGCAUAUCUUCCCAAUUCUUGAAUGGCUGCUUACCAUCAUUGGAUGAAGAAUAUUUUGUUCAUUCCUGUUGCUGGAAGAAGACAUUGAGAAGAAAGCUUUAUCGUCACCUAAUUAGGAUUGUUUUCGUGAUCUCUACCAAUAUGCUGGUUACUGAAUAGAAGCUUUAAACUAGAACAUGCUGGUUUUUGCUCAUACAUUUCAAAGAAUUUGAUUACUUCAUAAUGAGCUUGUCCCCAUCUUUUGUACAGAGUUACCUGUAAAAUGCUUGAAUCAAUUCAUGGAUCAGUAAAUUGGCAUUGAGAAUUC
Molecule: unclassified non-coding RNA, 358 nt
Filed under: Hevea brasiliensis (rubber tree)
Lineage: Eukaryota; Viridiplantae; Streptophyta; Magnoliopsida; Malpighiales; Euphorbiaceae
Source: RNAcentral